AUGUAUGUAAUUCAUUUCUUCAGAGAUCUUUAUAUAGUGGAGUCACCGGUUGCUCUACAUACAUUCAUGACUGCAUCUGGUGCUGCAUAUAGAGUGAAAAGCCCUGCAUUUGUUGAGCUUGUGAACACUUUCCACAGUUCAAGAUCGAUCGAUCAAGAAUUUGGGGAAAAAGAUAUAAUGACAACGGUACCAGCAGCUACAGAUUUCAACCAAGGAGGCAAGAAUCUACACAUAACCACAUACAAUACCACAUGCCACCGCUACAGAUUCAUCUCAAGUCAGACAUACAUUCUAGCAAGAUUCAUGAGAGUCUGCAUACCAUAG
Molecule: ribosomal RNA, 324 nt
Filed under: Triticum aestivum (bread wheat)
Lineage: Eukaryota; Viridiplantae; Streptophyta; Magnoliopsida; Poales; Poaceae
Description: partial small subunit ribosomal RNA
Source: RNAcentral